RNAcentral lists this long non-coding RNA (593 nucleotides) under Felis catus (domestic cat). Its description in RNAcentral is "lncRNA (ENSFCAG00000046556.2)". The record is from RNAcentral. Lineage: Eukaryota; Metazoa; Chordata; Mammalia; Carnivora; Felidae.
AUAACAAAAUAAUGUGUUGAUCAGUUGUAAAUGUUAUGAUCAGAAACUCUCGAGAACCCAACCCUGUGUUUCCCCCAGGAGCGACGGUGUGGUAUUUGCUAAUUCAGUGCUGGAGGCAACUUUACAGAACAUAACCACCAGGAAAAAUAGCCCACUGUUCUUAUGAAGAUGGGCUAAGCCAAGCCCUCUGCUGACCUGAGGCUUCCUCUCUGGCUUCCUCCCCAGUCUUGUCAAAGCUCAGAGAGAGUCCUGUGACAACAAGAGAGCAAGAUGGAUGUUGGUUCCUUUGGGAAGACUCGAAGAGUCACAAGGAGUCACAAAAGAGCAAAAGGCAGGAUUUCAUUCGUCCAUCUGGCCAGGAGAUGAGGCCUAACAGCCUUUUGCAGGCCUUCAUUAAUUUGUGUUCCUACACGGCUGCAUGGAGGAGGGCUGCUCUGACAUCCAAGGAACAAGAAAUGAACAAUUGGGGGCGUCUGGCUGGCUCACUUGGUAAAGUAUCAACUCUUGAUCUCAGGGUUGUGGGUUCAAGCCCAGGUUGGGUGUAGAGAUAACUUAAAAAUAAAAAUCUUUCUUUUUAAAUAAAAAUCUUGAGA